This 491-nucleotide ribosomal RNA is filed under the name uncultured bacterium. Its description in RNAcentral is "partial 16S ribosomal RNA". It matches the Rfam family "Bacterial small subunit ribosomal RNA", at positions 29 to 506 of the family's 1533-position model. The record is from RNAcentral.
AGUGAACGCUGGCGGUAGGCCUAACACAUGCAAGUCGAACGGCAGCACAGUAAGAGCUUGCUCUUACGGGUGGCGAGUGGCGGACGGGUGAGGAAUACAUCGGAAUCUACUUUUUCGUGGGGGAUAACGUAGGGAAACUUACGCUAAUACCGCAUACGACCUACGGGUGAAAGCAGGGGAUCUUCGGACCUUGCGCGAUUGAAUGAGCCGAUGUCGGAUUAGCUAGUUGGCGGGGUAAAGGCCCACCAAGGCGACGAUCCGUAGCUGGUCUGAGAGGAUGAUCAGCCACACUGGAACUGAGAAACGGUCAAGACUCCUACGGGAGGCAGCAGUGGGGAAUAUUGGACAAUGGGCGAAAGCCUGAUCCAGCCAUACGGGGUGGGUGAAGAAGGCUUUCGGGUUGUAAAGCCCUUUUGUUGGGAAAGAAAAGCAGCAGGUUAAUACCCCGCUGUUCUGACGGUACCCAAAGAAUAAGCACCGGCUAACUUCGU